This is a long non-coding RNA of Culex quinquefasciatus (southern house mosquito), 730 nucleotides long. RefSeq lists it as uncharacterized. The record is from RefSeq and is a predicted model, not a curated record. NCBI's taxonomy places the organism in Eukaryota, Metazoa, Arthropoda, Insecta, Diptera, Culicidae. The transcript has 2 exons.
UGUUCCAUAGCAGGUGACUUGCCUUGAACAUUUAAAAGCAAUUUUGCCAACAUGAAAGUUAAGUUAACAAAAGUUAUACUUAAAAGUUGUAGCAUUUGUGUUUGGUCCGCUUAAAAUUACGUCAUUUGACUUUCCGUGCCCUUAAUCUUGCGCACAAGAAAACCCCCCGUUCGGCGGAAAAUACUAUAAGCGUCAAAACUGUCAAGUUGACGCAGCUGUCGCGAGCCGCGUGAGUACGUCGUCCACGCGACGCAGCAAAAUUUUACUGCUUCUUUUCGAAUCGACGGUCGGACCGACCGCACGUUCCACCGUUCCGGCCUGCAUCGCGAGCAACCCGGCCGACUGGACGCCCUGGCCCCGAAAGGGGCCUUUUCGUUCUAGUUGGAACUCUUGCUGGCAAACCCGGAGACCUGCAAGCGGCCAGUGCUAAGGCGAGUCGACGAAACCGUCGGCGAGGAAGAGGACCUGUGGAGCCGGAGUGGUCACGAUCGGGACCAUGUGCAACUGUCGGUGAGUGCACAAUUCCCCAGAGCAAGGAGGCAGCGGUGGGGACAAACAAAGCGAGCGAAAUACCACGCGGGAGAGUGUGGUUUGUGCCUGUCGCCGUUGGAAUAUGGCCCGUGUGAUCGUCGGAAGCGGCGUCAUGUCUGAACGCCGGAAGUGACGCUCGGCGAUGUCGCUGAAGAAAGGGGAUGUGUGAGGAAAGAAGGCGAGUGCGGGGGAAAGAAAA